Molecule: small nucleolar RNA, 131 nt
Organism: Mastomys coucha (southern multimammate mouse)
Lineage: Eukaryota; Metazoa; Chordata; Mammalia; Rodentia; Muridae
Product: small nucleolar RNA SNORA17
Exons: 1
Source: RefSeq, a predicted model, not a curated record
CCUGCCCCUAGAAGUGGUUCAAAUAUAACCAGUGUCACCUGUGCAUCAGUAGGUGACAGAGUUUGGAGAGCCUAUGCUUAGACUCAGUGUUAUGACCUAUGGACAUUUGAAUGGUUUAGUGGCCUGAAACU